Molecule: long non-coding RNA, 245 nt
Filed under: Malus domestica (apple)
Lineage: Eukaryota; Viridiplantae; Streptophyta; Magnoliopsida; Rosales; Rosaceae
Description: long non-coding RNA (MDOM_LNC017610)
Source: RNAcentral
AAAAAAUUAAAAAAAAUAAAUAAAAUAAAAACAACAACAACAAAUAAACUUCAAUCUUCCUUAUGCGGAGUAUCAACAGCGGCAUCAGGAACUCCCCCACGCUCCGUAUCCCGGAGCACCCACACAAAACCCCCAAUAUCAAACCUUAGUUCGGUGUACGCAUCAGCCCUACCUUUAUUAUCAAAGUAGGGCACUUGCUUACAACGGUACCUCUCUAUUCACAACACGUUUCUCAUAUCUUUUUC